RNAcentral lists this unclassified non-coding RNA (458 nucleotides) under Hevea brasiliensis (rubber tree). Lineage: Eukaryota; Viridiplantae; Streptophyta; Magnoliopsida; Malpighiales; Euphorbiaceae. The record is from RNAcentral.
AAAAAAAAAAAAAAAUUGUUUUCUUUAUUUUGCAUUUUAUGUUAGCUUAUGAUUCAAGAGAGAAGGAGCUUAGGAUGGGGUCUGUGGAGUACAUUAUCUCACCUCUCCUCUUCUUUUUUUUCUCCCUUUCCUUGGGAAGAUAAAAGGCAUCAACUUUUAAGGGAUGAUAAAAGAAAUUUAAACAAUGUCCAUUAUGAAAACAUUUAACUGGAGAUGAAACUGAACCUGUUCAUUUCAACUGCAUCUCUGAUUUUCAAGGAAAUAAUGUGUGAUUCAGUUUUUACCAUUAACUUUGAAAUUCAUUAUAAAUCCUUGUCAUUAGUGUUUCCCAAAAUCAUGAAUUAUAUGAUGUAUUUGAUUCCAUCUCCUUGAAUAUUUGCUAAGAAUGAAGUAUGCUAACACCUCAGUACAUAAUCUUUACUGCAAUUAUUUAUUUAAUUUUUUUUUUAGGAGUUGUG